GAUGAACGCUGGCGGCGUGCCUAAUACAUGCAAGUCGAGCGAACAGAUGAGGAGCUUGCUCCUCUGACGUUAGCGGCGGACGGGUGAGUAACACGUGGAUAACCUACCUAUAAGACUGGGAUAACUACGGGAAACCGGAGCUAAUACCGGAUAAUAUAUUGAACCGCAUGGUUCAAUAGUGAAAGACGGUUUUGCUGUCACUUAUAGAUGGAUCCGCGCCGCAUUAGCUAGUUGGUAAGGUAACGGCUUACCAAGGCAACGAUGCGUAGCCGACCUGAGAGAGUGAACGGCCACACUGAAACUGAGACACGGUCCAGACUCCUACGGGAGGCAGCAGUAGGGAAUCUUCCGCAAUGGGCGAAAGCCUGACGGAGCAACGCCGCGUGAGUGAUGAAGGUCUUCGGAUCGUAAAACUCUGUUAUUAGGGAAGAACAAAUGUGUAAGUAACUAUGCACGUAUUGACGGUACCUAAUCAGAAAGCCACGGCUAACUACGUG
RNAcentral lists this ribosomal RNA (497 nucleotides) under uncultured bacterium. RNAcentral's name for it is "partial 16S ribosomal RNA". It matches the Rfam family "Bacterial small subunit ribosomal RNA", at positions 28 to 507 of the family's 1533-position model. The record is from RNAcentral.